AAACUCAAAGGAAUUGACGGGGACCCGCACAAGCGGUGGAUGAUGUGGUUAAUUCGAUGCAACGCGAAAAACCUUACCCACCUUUGACAUGGCAGGAAUCCCGAAGAGAUUGGGAGUGCUCGAAAGAGAACCUGCACACAGGUGCUGCAUGGCUGUCGUCAGCUCGUGUCGUGAGAUGUUGGGUUAAGUCCCGCAACGAGCGCAACCCUUGCCAUUAGUUGCUACGAAAGGGCACUCUAAUGGGACUGCCGGUGACAAACCGGAGGAAGGUGGGGAUGACGUCAAGUCCUCAUGGCCCUUAUAGGUGGGGCUACACACGUCAUACAAUGGCCGGUACAGAGGGUAGCCAACCCGCGAGGGGGAGCCAAUCCCACAAAGCCGGUCGUAGUCCGGAUCGCAGUCUGCAACUCGACUGCGUGAAGUCGGAAUCGCUAGUAAUCGCGGAUCAGCACGCCCGCGGUCCGAAUACGUUCCGGGCCUU
RNAcentral lists this ribosomal RNA (481 nucleotides) under uncultured Allobrachymonas sp. Its description in RNAcentral is "bacterial SSU rRNA". It matches the Rfam family "Bacterial small subunit ribosomal RNA", at positions 897 to 1382 of the family's 1533-position model. The record is from RNAcentral. Lineage: Bacteria; Pseudomonadati; Pseudomonadota; Betaproteobacteria; Burkholderiales; Comamonadaceae.